RNAcentral lists this ribosomal RNA (450 nucleotides) under uncultured bacterium. RNAcentral's name for it is "bacterial SSU rRNA". It matches the Rfam family "Bacterial small subunit ribosomal RNA", at positions 354 to 796 of the family's 1533-position model. The record is from RNAcentral.
GUGGGGAAUAUUGGACAAUGGGCGAAAGCCUGAUCCAGCCAUGCCGCGUGUGUGAAGAAGGUCUUCGGAUUGUAAAGCACUUUAAGUUGGGAGGAAGGGCAGUAAGUUAAUACCUUGCUGUUUUGACGUUACCGACAGAAUAAGCACCGGCUAACUUCGUGCCAGCAGCCGCGGUAAUACGAAGGGUGCAAGCGUUAAUCGGAAUUACUGGGCGCAAAGCGCGCGUAGGUGGUUUUGUAAGUUGGAGGUGAAAUCCCCGGGCUCAACCUGGGAACUGCCUCCAAAACUGCAUGACUAGAGUACGGUAGAGGGUAGUGGAAUUUCCUGUGUAGCGGUGAAAUGCGUAGAUAUAGGAAGGAACACCAGUGGCGAAGGCGACUACCUGGACUGAUACUGACACUGAGGUGCGAAAGCGUGGGGAGCAAACAGGAUUAGAAACCCCUGUAGUCC